RNAcentral lists this ribosomal RNA (251 nucleotides) under uncultured bacterium. RNAcentral describes it as "partial 16S ribosomal RNA". It matches the Rfam family "Bacterial small subunit ribosomal RNA", at positions 87 to 339 of the family's 1533-position model. The record is from RNAcentral.
GUACACGAGUGGCGAACGGGUGAGUAACACGUGGGUGAUCUGCCCUGCACUUCGGGAUAAGCCUGGGAAACUGGGUCUAAUACCGGAUAUGACCAUGCGCUUCACGGUGUGUGGUGGAAAGCUUUUGCGGUGUGGGAUGGGCCCGCGGCCUAUCAGCUUGUUGGUGGGGUAAUGGCCUACCAAGGCGACGACGGGUAGCCGGCCUGAGAGGGUGUCCGGCCACACUGGGACUGAGAUACGGCCCAGACUCC